This 236-nucleotide long non-coding RNA is filed under the name Salvia miltiorrhiza (redroot sage). RNAcentral's name for it is "long non-coding RNA (SMIL_LNC013255)". Lineage: Eukaryota; Viridiplantae; Streptophyta; Magnoliopsida; Lamiales; Lamiaceae. The record is from RNAcentral.
UGAUUUUAAUGAUGUUUUAGGUUUUUUAAAUUUUUAUGUAUUUUUUUAUGUUUUAAAUAGGUUUUUUAAAUUUUUAUGUAUUUUUUUAUGUUUUAAAUAGGUUUUUAAAUUUUAUGUUUAAUCCAGUAUUUAAAUAUGCAAUUUAAAUUAUGCAAUAAAAUUUAAAUGAAAAACAUAAAAUCAAAACUAAUAUUAUCAAGGAGGCUAUCAAGGAACCCCAAUGCAGCACUACCUAC